CUGCUAUCGGAUUGAUACUAAGCCAUGCGAGUCUUUGUAGUAAUACAAGGCAGACGGCUCAGUAACACGUAGUCAACCUACCCUAUGGACAAGAAUAAUCUCGGGAAACUGGGCAUAAUUCUUGAUAGAUCAUAAUGCCUGGAAUGGUUUAUGGUUAAAAUGAUUCGUCGCCAUAGGAUGGGACUGCGGCCUAUCAGCUUGUUGGUGAGGUAAUGGCCCACCAAGGCGAUUACAGGUACGGGCUCUGAGAGGAGAAGCCCGGAGAUGGGUACUGAGACACGGACCCAGGCCCUAUGGGGCGCAGCAGGCGAGAAAACUUUGCAAUGUGCGAAAGCACGACAAGGUUAAUCCGAGUGAUUUCUGCUAAAGAAAUCUUUUGCCAGUCGUAAAACCACUGGUGAAUAAGGGGUGGGCAAGUUCUGGUGUCAGCCGCCGCGGUAAAACCAGCACCUCAAGUGGUCAGGAUGAUUAUUGGGCCUAAAGCAUCCGUAGCCGGCUUUGUAAGUUUUCGGUUAAAUCCAUGUGCUCAACGCAUGGGCUGCCGAAAAUACUGCAUAGCUAGGGAGUGGGAGAGGUAGACGGUACUCAGUAGGAAGGGGUAAAAUCCUUUGAUCUAUUGAUGACCACCUGUGGCGAAGGCGGUCUACCAGAACACGUUCGACGGUGAGGGAUGAAAGCUGGGGGAGCAAACCGGAUUAGAUACCCGGGUAGUCCCAGCUGUAAACGAUGCAGACUCGAUGAUGCAUUGGCAUAAUAGCCAGUGCAGUGUCGCAGGGAAGCCGUUAAGUCUGCCGCCUGGGAAGUACGUACGCAAGUAUGAAACUUAAAGGAAUUGGCGGGGGAGCACCACAAGGGGUGAAGCCUGCGGUUCAAU
RNAcentral lists this ribosomal RNA (874 nucleotides) under uncultured marine group I thaumarchaeote. Its description in RNAcentral is "SSU rRNA". It matches the Rfam family "Archaeal small subunit ribosomal RNA", at positions 27 to 906 of the family's 1478-position model. The record is from RNAcentral. Lineage: Archaea; Thermoproteati; Nitrososphaerota.